Molecule: ribosomal RNA, 254 nt
Filed under: uncultured bacterium
Lineage: Bacteria
Description: partial 16S ribosomal RNA
Rfam family: Bacterial small subunit ribosomal RNA
Source: RNAcentral
UACGGGGGGAGCAAGCGUUGUUCGGAUUUACUGGGCGUAAAGGGCGCGUAGGCGGUCGUGACAAGUCACUUGUGAAAUCUCCGGGCUUAACUCGGAACGGUCAAGUGAUACUGUCGGACUAGAGUACAGAAGGGGCAACUGGAAUUCUCGGUGUAGCGGUGAAAUGCGUAGAUAUCGGGAGGAACACCUAUGGCGAAAGCAGGCUUCUGGGCCAUCACUGACGCUGAUCUGCGAAAGCUAGGGGAGCAAACAGG